RNAcentral lists this ribosomal RNA (253 nucleotides) under uncultured bacterium. RNAcentral's name for it is "partial 16S ribosomal RNA". It matches the Rfam family "Bacterial small subunit ribosomal RNA", at positions 524 to 776 of the family's 1533-position model. The record is from RNAcentral.
UACGUAGGGUGCAAACGUUGUUCGGAAUUACUGGGCGUAAAGCGCGUGUAGGCUGCUCCGAAAGUCGGAUGUGAAAGCCCUGGGCUCAACCUAGGAAGUGCAUUCGAAACUUCGGAGCUGGAGUCCUGGAGAGGAAGGCGGAAUUCUCGGUGUAGAGGUGAAAUUCGUAGAUAUCGAGAGGAACACCGGUGGCGAAGGCGGCCUUCUGGACAGUGACUGACGCUGAGACGCGAAAGCGUGGGGAGCAAACAGG